ACCCAAUAGAUACCCCGGUAGUCCUAGCCGUAAACGGUGCGCGUUUGCUGUAAGAGGAAUCGACCCCUUUUGUGGCGAAAGCCAAACGCGAUAAAAACGCGCCGCCUGGGAAGUACGGUCGCAAGAUUAAAACUCAAAGAAAUUGACGGGGCCUGCACAAGCGGUGGAGUAUGUGGCUCAAUUCGAUGCAACGCGAAGAACCUUACCUGGCCUUGACAUGCACGUAGUAGAAGGGUGAAAGCCUAACGAGGUAGCAAUACCAGCGUGCACAGGUGCUGCAUGGCUGUCGUCAGCUCGUGUCGUGAGAUGUUGGGUUAAGUCCCGCAACGAGCGCAACCCUUGUGUCCUGUUGCGAUCCUAACGAGAGUUGGGAGCACUCUGGACAGACUGCCUCGCUUAAACGAGGAGGAAGGUGGGAUGACGUCAAGUCAGUAUGGCCCUUACGGCCAGGGCUGCACACGUACUACAAUGGCUGGUACAAAGGGAAGCGAGACCGUCAGGUGGAGCAAAUCCCG
Molecule: ribosomal RNA, 515 nt
Filed under: uncultured bacterium
Lineage: Bacteria
Description: bacterial SSU rRNA
Rfam family: Bacterial small subunit ribosomal RNA
Source: RNAcentral